UCUUUUACAUUUUGAACCGAGAACCCUACGUGGAUAAAAAUGUAAUUCAGCCUACCUUGAAAAUACUGCGUUCAAAGUGAGGGAAAUUGGUUUGAUAUAAAUAGGAGAGCAGCGACUGCUCGAUUGUCAUAUGUCAAUAUAUCGUUGCCACUGCACAGUUCAUCAUCUUUAACGUUUCGUUGAAUUUGUCUUCAGUCUUACAUUCUUUAAAGAUGGAUCGUCCAACAAACAACAGUCAAACUAAUCGCGGAAAUCAGUGUAAUCCUAUUCACACGCCAACGGGUCCGGGUCGUCAAAGUGCAUACCAAGGAUCCCAGCAGACGGCAAACAUCAACAACCAUAGUAACCAACUCAAUCCAAACAAUGCACGUUAUGUUCAAAAAAAAUGAACAUGUUACAUACUAUGGACUUGUAAACAUUUUAUAUUUUGAUCAAAAAUAAAUCAACAAUAAU
Long non-coding RNA from Metopolophium dirhodum (rose-grain aphid), 453 nucleotides. RefSeq lists it as uncharacterized. NCBI's taxonomy places the organism in Eukaryota, Metazoa, Arthropoda, Insecta, Hemiptera, Aphididae. The record is from RefSeq and is a predicted model, not a curated record. The transcript is spliced from 3 exons.